This 248-nucleotide unclassified non-coding RNA is filed under the name fungal sp. RNAcentral describes it as "partial internal transcribed spacer region". The stretch from base 1 to 46 matches the Rfam family "Eukaryotic small subunit ribosomal RNA", at positions 1786 to 1831 of the family's 1831-position model. The record is from RNAcentral. Lineage: Eukaryota; Fungi.
AAGUCGUAACAAGGUUUCCGUAGGUGAACCUGCGGAAGGAUCAUUAAUGAAUUGAAAGGGAGUUGAUGCUGGCUAGGUCUCCUGGCAUGUGCUCGCUCCCGACAAUCUUAUCCAUACACCUGUGCACAAUGUGAGGGCGUGAAAGCGCCCUUAUUUUAACAUACACCUUAUAUAGUAAUCGCACGUGAUCUGCGUCUUCUGGCGCUUAAAUGAAAAUACAACUUUUAACAACGGAUCUCUUGGCUCUC